RNAcentral lists this ribosomal RNA (253 nucleotides) under uncultured bacterium. Its description in RNAcentral is "partial 16S ribosomal RNA". It matches the Rfam family "Bacterial small subunit ribosomal RNA", at positions 524 to 776 of the family's 1533-position model. The record is from RNAcentral.
UACGUAGGGGGCAAGCGUUGUCCGGAUUUACUGGGCGUAAAGCGCGUGUAGGCGGCUUUGCAAGUCGGAUGUGAAAUCCCACGGCUCAACCGUGGAAGUGCAUCCGAAACUGCAUCGCUGGAGUCUCGGAGAGGAAGGUGGAAUGCUUGGUGUAGAGGUGAAAUUCGUAGAUAUCAAGCAGAACACCUGCGGCGAAGGCGGCCUUCUGGACGAUGACUGACGCUGAGACGCGAAAGCGUGGGGAGCAAACAGG